RNAcentral lists this ribosomal RNA (497 nucleotides) under uncultured bacterium. Its description in RNAcentral is "partial 16S ribosomal RNA". It matches the Rfam family "Bacterial small subunit ribosomal RNA", at positions 28 to 507 of the family's 1533-position model. The record is from RNAcentral.
GAUGAACGCUGGCGGCGUGCCUAAUACAUGCAAGUCGAGCGAACAGAUGAGGAGCUUGCUCCUCUGACGUUAGCGGCGGACGGGUGAGUAACACGUGGAUAACCUACCUAUAAGACUGGGAUAACUUCGGGAAACCGGAGCUAAUACCGGAUAAUAUAUUGAACCGCAUGGUUCAAUAGUGAAAGACGGUUUUGCUGUCACUUAUAGAUGGAUCCGCGCCGCAUUAGCUAGUUGGUAAGGUAACGGCUUACCAAGGCAACGAUGCGUAGCCGACCUGGGAGGGUGAUAGGCCACACGGGAACUGAGCCACGGUCCAGACUCCUACGGGAGGCAGCAGUAGGGAAUCUUCCGCAAUGGGCGAAAGCCUGACGGAGCAACGCCGCGUGAGUGAUGAAGGUCUUCGGAUCGUAAAACUCUGUUAUUAGGGAAGAACAAAUGUGUAAGUAACUAUGCACGUCUUGACGGUACCUAAUCAGAAAGCCACGGCUAACUACGUG